Molecule: long non-coding RNA, 2118 nt
Filed under: Solanum tuberosum (potato)
Lineage: Eukaryota; Viridiplantae; Streptophyta; Magnoliopsida; Solanales; Solanaceae
Description: long non-coding RNA (STUB_LNC005625)
Source: RNAcentral
CUCCCCUCUCUCUCUAGCGCCGCCUCCCUCUCUUUUUCUUUCUUCCGUUCCGACCUGCGAACGACACGACCAAUAGCCCCGGCGAGCCUUUCUCUCCCUUCUCCCCUUCCCUCUUCGUCUCCUCUUUCUCAUUUCCUCUCCUCUGGCGAGAAUGCCGAGAAGCAGCAGCAAGAGCAGCCAGGCGAGACCUACUACGACUAGUCAAGCUGCCACCCAAUGACGCAGCUCCGACAACCACCAACGCAACCAGCCAACCACUAGCGAGAACCAGCAGCAGUCGCAUCUCCGGUGAACGCGACAUCAGUAGCAACAGCUGUCGGCAACAACAACAGCUCAGGCGAGGCUCGAAUUUUUGGGACUUCGUACAAGACGGAUUUUUUCAGAUCCACCCGGGUUUGGUUUCUAGUCAGUUUUAUCAUCUCAGUCUUUUCUUCAUUUUUGAUUAAGUUGAACUGUUUGUCUAAUGCCUGAUUCGAUUUGUUUUAGUAUUACAUGUUGGUUGUUGAUUCUUAGAAAAAAAGCAUAGCUGAGCUGUGAUUUCUCUAUUCGAAAUCCAUGAUUAUUGUUCCCAUUUGCCCGUGUUCGAGUGGAACAUCGUUGAAUUAGUACGCAGAUUUUAGACUCUAAUUCAUGGGUUUUCAUUGUUUUCUUCAUUUAUUUAUUUAUUUAUUGCUACUUCGUGGAUUAUCUUUGACUGAUUUCCUCUCGGCAAAUCAUGAUUUUAUCUCAGUGAAUUAAGAGCCAGUGCUAUCUUUGCUUAAAAUAUUCUUAUGGGUUUCCUUGACUUCUGGAAUUUUGCUAUUAGUCGGAUUGAUUCUAGCAUAAAUAGUGCUUUGAUAUAUGUGGACUCAUAAAUUUGUUUGCAUAAAUAGUGCUAUAUAUGUGGUAGAAUUACUCAUUUACUGUGAUUUAGACUUCCGUAUUUCUAUUAACCUUUAUUGAUUUGCGUAAUCAGUUUGGUGUAAAUUGUUGGACCCCUUUGUCUAUGAUAAGUUUGAAAUUAUGGGUUAAAGCAUGUAUUAUUUUCUUCCUUUUAAAUUUUAGUGCUGAUUUUAUAUUUAUUAAAUUAUAAUGCUGAAAAUUGAUCCCUCCUUCCAUUAAUAUUUGUCUUGACUGAUUCUCACUUAUUUAUUUAUGGCAAUCUAGCAUUAGGUGAAUAUUUAACUAAGGUAAUUAUUGCUUUUAUAUGCUGGCCGGUGCCUACUUUACUAUGGAAACUCCUAAUUAUUUCCUUGUCUUAUUUAUUUGCUCAUAUAUUUGGUAAAUAAUAAAUUAAUAAAUCUGUUUUGGCUCUUUUAAAAUAAGGAAAACAUUAAUUCCCUUCAAUUUUUGUUCCUUAAUUAACUCGUCUUUCAGAGACUAUAAAAGAACCCCCUCUUCAUUAUUUUAAGGACGGGGUAUAUUGGCUUACAUUCUGAAGAAUAUUAAAAUAAUAUAUUGCUCUCUACUCUGAAAAAGAAUUAAGUGCUUUCGGUUUAAAAACUUCAAAGUUCCUCUCUGUUUUGCUGUUUUGCUGUGUUCGGGUCUAAUAGUGGAUUAAGUUUGUCUUCAUUGCUGAUAAAUAUUUCUGCUAUAACUGGUUAGUUGUUCCUCCAUUAGUUUAAUCUUCAUUCCGCAUUAUUUCGAAUAUCGUUGUUUGUUUGAAUGAAUGAAAGGAAGCAUCCAGGUCAAUUUCUUAUCCCUUUCUUUCUCAAUGUGUGAUUAUAUAUCUCCACAACUUGUUUGAAUUCUUACAUGUCCGUAUGCUACUUGUGUGCAUGAAUUAAUUAAUAUUAUGUGCGUACCCAUGUAGUUAGUUUUAUCAUUUUGCUAUAUUAAAUUAUCUUUUUAUGUGUUAUCAUUAUUUGCUCCUAUUUUUCAUUGCACUUUACCAGGGUGUGAACUUAAGGUUCAAGAUGGUUGAAGAGUCAUCUAGAAGAGAUUUUCCGGAUGAGACUAUUAUGUUUAAGUUUAUUUUAAUGGUGUAGAUAUUAUUUAUUUGUUCUGUUGGCUUGUAAUAAUUUUGUAUUACUCUAACGCUCUAACCCUCUAUCAGCUAUGAAACAUAUUUGGGAGAUCGUCUAAAGGGGAGGGGGAUUACAUGCUAAUUGCUUUAUUUUACUUACUUCACUAUUUGUG